RNAcentral lists this long non-coding RNA (239 nucleotides) under Lathyrus oleraceus (garden pea). RNAcentral describes it as "Pisum sativum (pea) long non-coding RNA (PSAT_LNC036552)". The record is from RNAcentral. Lineage: Eukaryota; Viridiplantae; Streptophyta; Magnoliopsida; Fabales; Fabaceae.
AAGUCCAGCAAUUGGCAGUCGGGCUCCAUGUUUGCCUUUGUCUUGUUUGUUUGUGUGCGUGUCAGCCGAGCUACGAAUGCUCUGAUUCUUCUCUCGUCCGAGAAGAUACGUAUGCAUAGGAUGCGACAUCCUAGCGAGCAUGUGUCGUUUCCCCAGUCCGAACUACUUCGACUCUGAUGUCUAUGCCUGAUAGACUAAGUAGGCCCAGGAUGCGACAUCCUGCCGAGUCAGUUUCAGUC